CCACUUUGCAUAUCCGCGCAAAGCUUGUUCACUUGGUCUUGGAUCGCUUUGACAACAUCCAUGACCUUACCCUCCAACCUCGUAUAUUCUUCCCUUAAAGCGCCUUGGUCUUCCUUGAGAUCAUCAAGUUGUUCCAAGGUGUGAGCUUCAAGGGUUGAGAGUGAAUUCUCCACUACUUCAAUGUGUUCCCCCAUAUUGAGAAAUACUUCCUCAAGAGAUCCACCGGUAGGGGCUGGUGGUCGGCUCUUGCUUCGAGUUUGUCGAGUUUUCUUACUCGUGGUUUGGGGUUCGACCACUCGACCCCGCUCGUCAUG
RNAcentral lists this long non-coding RNA (314 nucleotides) under Olea europaea (common olive). RNAcentral's name for it is "long non-coding RNA (OEUR_LNC009463)". Lineage: Eukaryota; Viridiplantae; Streptophyta; Magnoliopsida; Lamiales; Oleaceae. The record is from RNAcentral.